AGCUCCGGGUUCGAGUCCCGGGCAACCCA
Molecule: transfer RNA, 29 nt
Filed under: Araucaria nemorosa
Lineage: Eukaryota; Viridiplantae; Streptophyta; Pinopsida; Araucariales; Araucariaceae
Description: partial tRNA-Lys
Source: RNAcentral